This 441-nucleotide ribosomal RNA is filed under the name uncultured bacterium. RNAcentral's name for it is "partial 16S ribosomal RNA". It matches the Rfam family "Bacterial small subunit ribosomal RNA", at positions 338 to 795 of the family's 1533-position model. The record is from RNAcentral.
CCUACGCGUGGCAGCAGUGGGGAAUAUUGGUCAAUGGAGGAAACUCUGACCCAGCAACGCCGCGUGAAGGAUGAAGGUUUUCGGAUUGUAAACUUCUUUCGCGAGGGAUGAAGAAUGACGGUACCUCGUAAGAAAGCCCCGGCAAACUACGUGCCAGCAGCCGCGGUAAUAUGUAGGGGGCGCGCGUUGGCCGGAAUGACUGGGCGUAAAGGGAGUGUAGGCGGCAUGUUAAGUUAUGUGUGAAAGCCCGCGGGUCAACCGCGGAAGUGCACAUAAUACUGGUAAGCUGGAGUGCAGGAGAGGGAAGUGGAAUUCCUGGUGUAGCGGUGAAAUGCGUAGAUAUUAGGAGGAACACCAGUGGCGAAGGAGGACUGCUGGACGAUGACUGACGCUGAGGCUCGAAAGCGUGGGGAGCAAACAGGAUUAGAUACCCCUGUAGUC